RNAcentral lists this ribosomal RNA (467 nucleotides) under uncultured bacterium. RNAcentral describes it as "partial 16S ribosomal RNA". It matches the Rfam family "Bacterial small subunit ribosomal RNA", at positions 28 to 507 of the family's 1533-position model. The record is from RNAcentral.
GAUGAACGCUGGCGGCGUGCUUAACACAUGCAAGUCGAACGGUGAAGCAGAGCUUGCUCUGUGGAUCAGUGGCGAACGGGUGAGUAACACGUGAGCAACCUGCCCCUGACUCUGGGAUAAGCGCUGGAAACGGCGUCUAAUACUGGAUAUGGGCUGCGACCGCAUGGUCAGCAGUUGGAAAGAUUUUUCGGUCUGGGAUGGGCUCACGGCCUAUCAGCUUGUUGGUGAGGUAAUGGCUCACCAAGGCGUCGACGGGUAGCCGGCCUGAGAGGGUGACCGGCCACACUGGGACUGAGACACGGCCCAGACUCCUACGGGAGGCAGCAGUGGGGAAUAUUGCACAAUGGGCGAAAGCCUGAUGCAGCAACGCCGCGUGAGGGAUGACGGCCUUCGGGUUGUAAACCUCUUUUAGCAGGGAAGAAGCGAAAGUGACGGUACCUGCAGAAAAAGCGCCGGCUAACUACGUG